This 253-nucleotide ribosomal RNA is filed under the name uncultured bacterium. RNAcentral's name for it is "partial 16S ribosomal RNA". It matches the Rfam family "Bacterial small subunit ribosomal RNA", at positions 524 to 776 of the family's 1533-position model. The record is from RNAcentral.
UACGGGGGGGGCAAGCGUUGUUCGGAAUUACUGGGCGUAAAGGGCUCGUAGGCGGCCCACUAAGUCAGACGUGAAAUCCCUCAGCUUAACUGGGGAACUGCGUCUGAUACUGGAUGGCUUGAGUUCGGGAGAGGGAUGCGGAAUUCCAGGUGUAGCGGUGAAAUGCGUAGAUAUCAGGAGGAACACCUAUGGCGAAGGCAGCUCGCUGGGACGGUACUGACGCUGAGGCGCGAAAGCGUGGGGAGCAAACAGG